RNAcentral lists this ribosomal RNA (464 nucleotides) under uncultured bacterium. Its description in RNAcentral is "bacterial SSU rRNA". It matches the Rfam family "Bacterial small subunit ribosomal RNA", at positions 32 to 507 of the family's 1533-position model. The record is from RNAcentral.
AAUCAACGCUGGCGGCGUGCCUCAGACAUGCAAGUCGAACGAUUAAAGCUCCCUUCGGGGAGUGCAUAAAGUGGCGCACGGGUGAGUAACACGUAAGUAAUCUACCUUCGAGUGGGGAAUAACGUUCGGAAACGAACGCUAAUACCGCAUAAUGCAGCGGCAUCUAUGAUGACAGUUGUUAAAGAUUUAUCGCUUGAAGAGGAGCUUGCGGCAGAUUAGCUAGUUGGUAAGGUAAUGGCUUACCAAGGCUACGAUCUGUAUCCGGUCUAAGAGGACGGUCGGACACACUGACACUGAAUAACGGGUCAGACUCCUACGGGAGGCAGCAGUCGGGAAUUUUGGGCAAUGGGCGAAAGCCUGACCCAGCAACGCCGCGUGAAGGAUGAAGUUUUUCGGAAUGUAAACUUCGUAAGAAUAGGAAGAAUAAAUGACGGUACUAUUUGUAAGGUCCGGCUAACUACGUG